CCCUUAGAUGUUCUGGGCUGCACACGUGCUACACUGGCAGGUUCAGCGAGCUUCAUGCCCUGAUCUGAAAGGAAUGGGAAAUCUUUUCAAAACCUGCCGUGCUUGGGAUAGAUGUUUGCAAUUAUUCAUCUUCAACGAGGAUUGCCUUGUAAGCGCACGUCAUCAGCGUGCAUUGAAUACGACCCUGUAUUCUGUACACACCGCCCGUCGCUCCUACCGAUUGAAGUUUUCGGUGAGUUGACAGGAGGAUUUUUUUGAAACAGGUUCGCCAGUGGAUUUUAGAUCCAAAUGCCAACGAAUCGAUGGCUUUAGAGGAAGGAGAAGUCGUAACA
This 332-nucleotide ribosomal RNA is filed under the name uncultured eukaryote. RNAcentral describes it as "partial 18S ribosomal RNA". It matches the Rfam family "Eukaryotic small subunit ribosomal RNA", at positions 1470 to 1796 of the family's 1831-position model. The record is from RNAcentral.